AGACAUAAAAUAGAUUAUCUAUACCUUGUUACGGACUUGGGUGACUUUGUUUU
Molecule: transfer RNA, 53 nt
Filed under: Rhigonema thysanophora
Lineage: Eukaryota; Metazoa; Nematoda; Chromadorea; Rhabditida; Rhigonematidae
Description: tRNA-Arg
Source: RNAcentral